UCCUCACUUGUUUCUUCCUUACAUGCUGUGGUAGCUGCUGCAGAUGUUCCAGCAUCUUCGCUUCCUUUUUGUGCCCAAGCUGGAGCAAAAGCCACUGUUUUGUUGCCAUUGUUCCUGUUCUUGUCAUACAGACCAUCUUCAAAGGAACCAUAG
RNAcentral lists this ribosomal RNA (153 nucleotides) under Triticum aestivum (bread wheat). RNAcentral's name for it is "partial small subunit ribosomal RNA". The record is from RNAcentral. Lineage: Eukaryota; Viridiplantae; Streptophyta; Magnoliopsida; Poales; Poaceae.